UGGUGCCUUCGGGAACUCUGAGACAGGUGCUGCAUGGCUGUCGUCAGCUCGUGUUGUGAAAUGUUGGGUUAAGUCCCGCAACGAGCGCAACCCUUAUCCUUUGUUGCCAGCGGUUCGGCCGGGAACUCAAAGGAGACUCCCAGUGAUAAACUGGAGGAAGGUGGGGAUGACGUCAAGUCAUCAUGGCCCUUACGAGUAGGGCUACACACGUGCUACAAUGGCGUAUACAAAGAGAAGCGACCUCGCGAGAGCAAGCGGACCUCAUAAAGUACGUCGUAGUCCGGAUUGGAGUCUGCAACUCGACUCCAUGAAGUCGGAAUCGCUAGUAAUCGUAGAUCAGAAUGCUACGGUGAAUACGUUCCCGGGCCUUGUACACACCGCCCGUCACACCAUGGGAGUGGGUUGCAAAAGAAGUAGGUAGCUUAACCUUCGGGAGGGCG
This 440-nucleotide ribosomal RNA is filed under the name Serratia nematodiphila. Its description in RNAcentral is "bacterial SSU rRNA". It matches the Rfam family "Bacterial small subunit ribosomal RNA", at positions 1012 to 1452 of the family's 1533-position model. The record is from RNAcentral. Lineage: Bacteria; Pseudomonadati; Pseudomonadota; Gammaproteobacteria; Enterobacterales; Yersiniaceae.